Rhinopithecus bieti (black snub-nosed monkey) is the source of this 1602-nucleotide long non-coding RNA. The record is from Ensembl. NCBI's taxonomy places the organism in Eukaryota, Metazoa, Chordata, Mammalia, Primates, Cercopithecidae.
AUGGCCUCGGAAGUGGUGUGCGGGCUCAUCUUCAGGCUGCUGCUGCCCAUCUGCCUGGCAGUAGCAUGUGCGUUCCGAUACAAUGGGCUCUCCUUUGUCUACCUUAUCUACCUCUUGCUCAUUCCUCUGUUCUCAGAACCAACAAAAACGACAAUGCAAGGACAUACGGGACGGUUAUUAAAGUCUCUGUGCUUCCUCAGUCUUUCCUUCCUGUUGCUGCACGUUAUCUUCCACAUCACAUUGGCGAGCCUUGAAGCUCAACAUCGUAUUGCACCUGGCUACAACUGCUCAACAUGGGAAAAGACAUUUCGGCAGAUCGGCUUUGAAAGCUUAAAGGGAGCUGAUGCUGGCAAUGGGAUCAGAGUGUUUGUACCUGACAUCGGGAUGUUCAUUGCUAGUCUGACCAUCUGGCUUCUCUGUAGAAACAUUGUUCAGAAACCUGUGACAGACGAAGCAGCACAGAGUAACCUGGAGUUUGAAAAUGAAGAAUUGGCUGAAGGAGAAAAAAUUGAUUCAGAAGAGGCACUGAUCUAUGAAGAGGAUUUAGACGGAGGAGAUGGUGUUGAAGGCGAGUUGGAAGAAAGCACGAGGUUAAAAAUGUUCCGCAGGCUUGCCUUUGUGGCCUCUAAGCUCAAAGAGUUCAUUGGCAACAUGAUCACCCUGGCUGGGAAAGUGGUUGUUACCAUCUUACUGGGCUCCUCGGGUAUGAUGUUGCCGUCUUUGACAUCAUCUGUGUAUUUUUUUGUAUUUUUGGGUCUGUGCACCUGGUGGUCCUGGUGCCGGACGUUCGACCCAUUGCUGUUCAGCUGCCUCUGUGUUCUGCUGGCUAUUUUCACUGCUGGACAUUUGAUUGGACUUUAUUUAUACCAGUUCCAAUUCUUUCAAGAAGCAGUUCCACCCAGUGACUACUACGCAAGGUAAGAGAAAUCUUUAUGGCAUUUCAAGGAGAGGUUGUCCCCCCACGCCUUUGGGACCUUGGUUUGGCACUGUGAAUGUGCAGGAUCAUUCUUGAUGGCAGGCAAUUGCUGUGUUAAGCAAAGAUUCUGUGGGGGUGGGUGAGGCAGUCUGGCACUUUCAUUGUAUUGGAUGACACAGUCUGGAAGGAGGACAGUGGUCUCCUCAGAUGGAGAUGCUGCCGGGAUGCAGGAGGACAGGGAGCUGUCAUGUGCAGGAAUGAAACAGACCCAGUAGUCUCAGCCGGGGAAGAAGUUCAGGAAGAACAUUUUACACUGAAGAACAGUAAGGAUGUGUCACAGCAUCCAACUAGAAAGACGUCUCACGGGCCCGAUAUACGAGAACAAAUUGAGCAUCAGAAACAAUAACUAAUUGUAAAAAACUUAAAAAUAAAAGCCCCAGCCUGGGCAACAUGGUGAAAUCCCUUAUCUACAGAAAAUUAGCUGGGCAAGAGGGCGCACACCUGUGGUCUCAGCUACUCAGGAGGCUGACGUGGGAGGGUCACCCGAGCCUGGGAGGUCGAGGCUGCAGUGAGCCAUGAUCACACCACUGUACUCCCGCCUGGGUGAGAGUGAGCCCCUGUCUCCAAAUAAAUAAAUGAAUAAGAAAAUACGUAAGUCUCUGGUAUGAGAGAGAAAGGGAGAGAGA